UACCCGCGCCUUUCCCCAGGAGCUUCGCAGACCGUGCUGGAAUGCAGAGGUCUGGGUGGAGGUUAGUCAUAACUUCCAAAUAUGCAUAUCCCACCGGCCAAAUGUACACAGCUUCCCGGUGUUUGUGGGGAGACAGAAGUGGAAACACAAAGUGACAGCACCUUAGAGGAGCCCUGCUCUGUACGUUAUCACCACAGCAUCAGGGAGGCCUAGCAGGAAAACAAGCAGUGACUCUUCCCACUGCACAGCCUCACAAGACACAGCUGCCCCUUUGCUGAUGGCCCACGCUUAGCUGCUCAGCCUCGUAGACGCCUGGCUCUAGGCCAUGUGCCUCUGGCACCAGCGUGCAGGCCAGCAAGGGGCAAAAGCAGAAGAGUGGCUGGCAGAAGCAGCAGUCCUGUCUCACAGCACGGAGGCAUCUCAGGAGGAAUCCAGGCUGAGGCAUGUCUGAGGCAUCGAGCAGAGGAAAGGAAUUGAGGACAACCUCGCCUUGUGUCCAGAAGACCAGGAUACCCUAAAAUACAGGGGACACUCUAAGCUUGCGAAUAAUCCAUGGUGCGGGCUCCGUUCCUGCGUUCCUGCCUGUUCAGAGCCUACGGGCCCAGACCCACAGCCAGGAUGGCCAUCGCGGCCCAGGACGCUGCGUGUCCCUGGGCAGGGCUGCACCGCACGAGGGGCUUCUGAGUAUAAAGUAAAACGCAGAAAGAGAAAACUCAGUGGCUGCUUCUUGUAAUUCACAGUUCUCUUGACAACCCUAAGGCCACAAGAAGUACACACUGGAGAUGUGAAAACACACCUUGACCCCAGAAUGCAUUCCAUCCGGAUCACAGGUUAACUUUUAACAAUAAAACCCUAAAAUACUAGAAGAACAAGCAAAGCACACGUUCAUAAUGUUGAAAUGCAGAAGGCGUGAUCCAAAUCCCAAAAGAAAUGAAGGGGGGAAAUAGGCAACACUUCCUACAUGAAGAUAAAACGGUUCUGGUGAAGGAGUAAGUAGAGUCAAACAUAAACACCAAACGGGCAGAAAGUGUUUCUAACGCAGAUGCCAAGAGGUUCCUGAUUCGAACACACAGACAAAUCAUUAGAGAAGGAAGAGGGAGAACUGUUGCCCCAAAGAAAAGCACCAAGGGCCAUUAAGCUUCAUGAAGCGUGCUAAGCCGUACACACUUCGAGAUUUCUCUCACAAGGGAGUUGUGCAGUUUUCACUCCUCCCUCGGUAAGGAUGAAGUCCCGUCCCGCGCUGGAGGACGUGAGCCAGCCGAUGGGGGUAAAGGUGGGUGGGCCCUGUGUCUGCAGGCCGGCUGGUAGCGCUUUGACCCAGGCCCAGCAACUCAUCCCCUGUGCACUAAGCUGUUCCUUGCAGAAUUAGUUUCAAAUAACAGCAAAAAUGGACAACUCCGAAGGUGAGCAGGCCUUUCCUUCUCCGUGCACCUGGAGCCCCGGACAUGGACUCCGCGCUAAAUCUGAUAAGCUAGUGCCCUGCCCUG
Molecule: long non-coding RNA, 1487 nt
Organism: Chinchilla lanigera (long-tailed chinchilla)
Lineage: Eukaryota; Metazoa; Chordata; Mammalia; Rodentia; Chinchillidae
Exons: 3
Source: RefSeq, a predicted model, not a curated record